RNAcentral lists this ribosomal RNA (425 nucleotides) under uncultured bacterium. RNAcentral's name for it is "partial 16S ribosomal RNA". It matches the Rfam family "Bacterial small subunit ribosomal RNA", at positions 354 to 796 of the family's 1533-position model. The record is from RNAcentral.
GUGGGGAAUCUUGCGCAAUGGGCGAAAGCCUGACGCAGCCAUGCCGCGUGAAUGAUGAAGGUCUUAGGAUUGUAAAAUUCUUUCACCGGGGACGAUAAUGACGGUACCCGGAGAAGAAGCUCCGGCUAACUUCGUGCCAGCAGCCGCGGUAAUACGAAGGGGGCUAGCGUUGCUCGGAAUUACUGGGCGUAAAGGGCGCGUAGGCGGACAGCUUAGUCAGAGGUGAAAGCCUAGGGCUCAACCUUGGAAUUGCCUUUGAUACUGGCUGUCUUGAGUUUGGGAGAGGGGAGUGGGACUCCGAGUGUAGAGGUGAAAUUCGUAGAUAUUCGGAAGAACACCAGUGGCGAAGGCGACUCACUGGCCCAAUACUGACGCUGAGGCGCGAAAGCGUUGGGAGCAAACAGGAUUAGAUUCCCUGGUAGUCC